GAUGAACGCUGGCGGCGUGCCUAAUACAUGCAAGUCGAGCGAACGGACGAGAAGCUUGCUUCUCUGAUGUUAGCGGCGGACGGGUGAGUAACACGUGGAUAACCUACCUAUAAGACUGGGAUAACUUCGGGAAACCGGAGCUAAUACCGGAUGAUAUUUUGAACCGUAUGGUUCAAAAGUGAAAGACGGUCUUGCUGUCACUUAUAGAUGGAUCCGCGCUGCAUUAGCUAGUUGGUAAGGUAACGGCUUACCAAGGCAACGAUGCAUAGCCGACCGGAGAGAGGGAUCGGCCACACUGGAGCUAGGAAGCGAUGCAGGGUCCUGCGAGAGGCAGCAGGAGGGGAGCUUGCGCGAUGAGCAGAAGCCUGAUAGAGCAACGCCACGUGAGUGAGGAAGGGCUACGAAUCGUGAAACUCUCUUAUUAAGGAAGAACGUGUGUGUAAGUAACUGUGCACAUCAUGACGGUACCGAAUCAGAAGACCACGGCUAACGACAGG
This 497-nucleotide ribosomal RNA is filed under the name uncultured bacterium. Its description in RNAcentral is "partial 16S ribosomal RNA". It matches the Rfam family "Bacterial small subunit ribosomal RNA", at positions 28 to 507 of the family's 1533-position model. The record is from RNAcentral.